RNAcentral lists this ribosomal RNA (460 nucleotides) under uncultured bacterium. RNAcentral describes it as "partial 16S ribosomal RNA". It matches the Rfam family "Bacterial small subunit ribosomal RNA", at positions 338 to 795 of the family's 1533-position model. The record is from RNAcentral.
CCUACGGGAGGCAGCAGUGAGGAAUAUUGGUCAAUGGACGAGAGUCUGAACCAGCCAAGUAGCGUGAAGGAUGACUGCCCUAUGGGUUGUAAACUUCUUUUAUAUGGGAAUAAAACGUUCCACGUGUGGGAUUUUGUAUGUACCAGAAGAAUAAGGAUCGGCUAACUCCGUGCCAGCAGCCGCGGUAAUACGGAGGAUCCGAGCGUUAUCCGGAUUUAUUGGGUUUAAAGGGAGCGUAGGUGGAUUGUUAAGUCAGUUGUGAAAGUUUGCGGCUCAAACGUAAAAUGUCAGUUGAAACUGGCAGUCUUGAGUACAGUAGAGGUGGGCGGAAUUCGUGGUGUAGCGGUGAAAUGCUUAGAUAUCACGAAGAACUCCGAGUGCGAAGGCAGUUCACUGGACUGCAACUGACACUGAGGCUCGAAAGUGUGGGUAUCAAACAGGAUUAGAUACCCCUGUAGUC